Molecule: ribosomal RNA, 253 nt
Filed under: uncultured bacterium
Lineage: Bacteria
Description: partial 16S ribosomal RNA
Rfam family: Bacterial small subunit ribosomal RNA
Source: RNAcentral
UACGGAGGGAGCUAGCGUUGUUCGGAAUUACUGGGCGUAAAGCGCACGUAGGCGGCUUUGUAAGUUAGAGGUGAAAGCCUGGGGCUCAACCCCAGAAUUGCCUUUAAGACUGCAUCGCUUGAAUCCAGGAGAGGUGAGUGGAAUUCCGAGUGUAGAGGUGAAAUUCGUAGAUAUUGGGAAGAACACCAGUGGCGAAGGCGGCUCACUGGCUCGUAUCUGACGCUCAGGCGCGAUAGCGUGGGGAUCAAACAGG